CUUAAAUCAUUGUUUUAUACAAUAUACAAUGUAUAUUCACUUUUACUACCAACUGAUAGAUUAAAACAAUCUUUACCAUUCAGUGAUCAGCACUUUUUAUGAUGUAUUUAAAUGAGUAGUUAUUGUUGCAAACUUCAUUAGAAAUUUGAAUUGAGAUCAGUUUUGAAAUAAGGGAAAGAGGGAUGUGAAAAAAAAAUUGGAGGGUCAAUUUUUUUCAUUUCAGAUUUCAUAAAUAAAAAGAAAAUUUCUUCAAACAUUUUUUUGAGAGGAUUAAUAUUCAACAGCAUAGUGAAUUGCUCAAAGGCAAACAUUUUUUUUAAGUUCAUUAGACCACAUUCAUUCUGUGUCAGAAACCUAUGCUGUGUCAACUAUUUAAUCACAAUCCAAAUUUAGAGCUGAAUCCAGCUUGAAUGUUGUGUCCAUACUUGCCCCAACCGUUCAGGGUUCAACCUCUGCGGUCGUAUAAAGCUGCGCCCUGCGGAGCAUCUGGUUUUUAUUACAUCAAAAAACUAUUUGCUUGUUAAAAUUGGUUAGAAUUUGUUGCAAAGUUUUGAAAUCCAAAUAUGUGAGUGAGUAGACUAAAUACACUUAGUUUUUACCUUAAUAGGUUAUUGUAAAAGAAUGUUAUUUAAGAAUUGAAUGCUGCUUUUUGUAAAAUUAUUGGGGUGUAAAAGCGUUGACCGAAGUACAUUUUGUAUGAAGCGCGGAUUACUAAAAAUGUGCGCACGGUCAAUGCUUUUACAACCCUAUAAAGUUACAAAAAGAAGCAUUCAAUACUUAUAAUUACAUUUUUUUAGCUAGAAUCAUGAAAACACGAUUUUUAUUACGUUUCCAUUUAAUUCACCUGUGCACUUUAUUGUGGGACCUGGUGUCAUCAUGAAUGAUAAAUUUUAUUGUCUAAUGCAAUUGUUUCAGGAAUAGCACGUGAUGUGCAGAAAGCCAAUCAGAAUAACGUAUUAUAAUGUAACAUACGUCUAAUGUAAUUAUACUGUUAUGGAGGUUUUAGCCUUAUUACUGGUUAUUUCAAAAAUAAGGGAAACACAUAUUUUAUUCAUGUGGGACAAGGAUCUUCUCAUUAUAACAUAUAAAAAGGAUGUUAGAUGUAAAAACUUCUGAUAUUUGCAUGCAGAACUCAUUACUGUAAACAGGGAAAUUUUUGUAGCAGUUCUAUUUUGCUUUUUGCACAAAACAGUUGCUACUUAAAAAUUAAACUAUCACAAAUAUUUCAUGGGAACUGAAUUCAUAGGACCAAGAAUGAAAAUUAAAAACCACCAUAAAUCUUGAAAAUGAAGGCCAUGCCAGUUAAGAACCAAUCAGCAAAUUGUAAUGAAAGACGACAUGAAAAAUUCCAGAUUAACAGUACAAUAAAAAUUAUUCAUGUGUUAACCUAUUUCCAUUGGAAACCAACAAUUCUGUUUUGUGAAGAAUUGUAUUAUCAUCAUGUGUUGAACCGAAAUUGAUCAGGUCAAACAUGUGUGAAUUUAUACUGAGGUAAUCCAAAGCAACUGUUUUACCAAAGCAAUUGUUAAUUGGUUCAAUAUUUAACAAAGGAUAAAAAAAAGUUUUUAAAAAAAAUCAAAAUUGAAUUGACCACAUGAAGAAAAGUAUUUAAAAAUUCUUAUAAUUAUUUUUGACUAUUUUGAUAUUGUGAUUAUUUUGUACCGGAUACUUAUAGUACUAUAGUAUUUUUGUUAUUAGUUUUAUAUAUGUAUUGAAAAUACACAUUUUAUUUUAUGAUUGUGAUAAUAAUUAUAAUGAUAUUUUCCUAGUCAUCUGUUAUAUGAGA
Molecule: long non-coding RNA, 1786 nt
Filed under: Mytilus galloprovincialis (Mediterranean mussel)
Lineage: Eukaryota; Metazoa; Mollusca; Bivalvia; Mytilida; Mytilidae
Source: RNAcentral